UCUGGAAGAACAAAUUACAAGCUCAAGGGGAGUGCACAAAUACACGUGAUGGGGAAUCAAAAGAAGAAUUUGCACCAAUAAAAACUCAAAGUUUCUUCUAUUCUGGGACAAAAUGGAAGGACUUCCGUCCAGAGAUUACAAGUGGUACUGGAACAGAGAAUAUUUAGAAUCGGGAUAGUGUACUCAAUGUCACUUCUGGCUUCUUGCAUUUUGUUGGUGAUUCAUUGGUUCCUGAUACCAUAGACUAAAACUUGCUGGAGAUUGCCAAAGUUCUCCAACAGGUUGAUAUGAAGUUUAUUCCAAUUGUGGCGAACACAACACUUGCUAUAAUUGAUCAGCAUGUGCAGAAUCAAGCGAAUUCAAGAACCAUAUAAGCUACCGGCGCAUAUUAGAGUACUCCACCAUUGCUGCUCUUAACUGUUCCGGUGACCAUGUCCAAUCAAAACCCUAACCCUCAAAUCAAUUUUCCCGCCGAUCUGUCUAUUGGUAUCUAUUGCUAUAGGCAUUGAGAGGCGAUGAUGAUUUUUGCCAACUUUAUUCCCUUCUGAGUUGAUUAUUCGGGUAUUUGAGAUUAUCCGACCCAUAUCUUGGCGGGGCAUGCCACCAGAUUUUCUGGUGAUUUUUGCAGCCAUGGCGUUGUUGGACUCUCUUUUUGCCUGAGCUUAACACAGAUUUGAACCUAACUUUCUCUGUCAGUUUAGGGAAACUAACGGUUGGGAAAAUGAACAAAGCAAAAGCUCAAAAGGGAAAGAAUGAGGCUACAGAGAGUUGAUGAUUUUUCAUUGAAUGGGUGAUUGCUUCUCUCUGUAUUCAGCCAAUGAUUUCUGCAUUACUGUAGGAAUCCCAACUAUCCUUCUAUCAAUUUUAUUGGAGGGAGUAUAUUUUUAACAGCUUGCUUGGAUUGUUGUUAUAUAUUGUUAAAGGGUUUCUAUGCCCUUCCACUCUUUUUUUUCUUUAUUUUAAUGCUUCCACCAGAGCAUUGAAUGUUGCCGGUGGAGCUGGUGGAAGCGAUGAGGGAUCUCGUGUCUCAUGAGAUGGACGGGUGCUGGGAGAAAUAUAUGCGACAUCAAAAUACUGCCAUUCAGAUGAUAUGCAUGCUUUCCCAGCAAGCUUUGGCCUUAAAGGAGAGGCUCUGAG
Long non-coding RNA from Solanum dulcamara, 1137 nucleotides. RefSeq lists it as uncharacterized. The transcript has 7 exons. Lineage: Eukaryota; Viridiplantae; Streptophyta; Magnoliopsida; Solanales; Solanaceae. The record is from RefSeq and is a predicted model, not a curated record.